AGAGUUUGAUUCUGGCUCAGGAUGAACGCUGGCGGCGUGCUUAACACAUGCAAGUCGAACGAAGCACUCUAUUUGAUUUCCUUCGGGAUUGAUUAUUUUGUGACUGAGUGGCGGACGGGUGAGUAACGCGUGGGUAACCUGCCUUGUACAGGGGGAUAACAGUUGGAAACGGCUGCUAAUACCGCAUAAGCGCACAGUACCGCAUGGUAUAGUGUGAAAAACUCCGGUGGUAUAAGAUGGACCCGCGUUUGAUUAGCUAGUUGGUGGGGUAACGGCCUACCAAGGCGACGAUCAAUAGCCGACCUGAGAGGGUGACCGGCCACAUUGGGACUGAGACACGGCCCAA
Molecule: ribosomal RNA, 346 nt
Filed under: uncultured bacterium
Lineage: Bacteria
Description: bacterial SSU rRNA
Rfam family: Bacterial small subunit ribosomal RNA
Source: RNAcentral